Molecule: long non-coding RNA, 497 nt
Filed under: Salvator merianae (Argentine black and white tegu)
Lineage: Eukaryota; Metazoa; Chordata; Lepidosauria; Squamata; Teiidae
Description: lncRNA (ENSSMRG00000005396.1)
Source: RNAcentral
GCAACUACCUGUUAUUGUAAAAGCUUUACUUUCCAAGAACACACAGGGCGAUGCAAGAGGUUGAAUUCCAGUCUGCCCAUACGAGAUUGCGGGGAGGAAGGCCACGCACAGACCCUAAACAUUCUCAAAUUUCGACACACUCUCAGCUGAACGCUUGAUUUCGCAAAAUAGCGCCCACUAUUCGCCAGAUGCGAAUCUCUCUAGAUCAGGAAGAAGUUCCUCUAAAGCAAAAAGCAAAAACUCCUAAAAGAGUUUGCCCCUUAAAUUUUCCACAAGAGGGGCAGUUCCCCUUUAAACUUAGGGAAGACAGAUAACAGCAGAUGCAAAACCACGUGUCUCUCAAAACUACAUUUCCCAAGGAGCAUUCCGCCGAGCAUGCGCACUGGCGGCCCACUCACUAUAUAAGGACACUGCACAGUUGCUUCCCUCUUUUCGCUUUGUACGUCGUUGUGGUCGGGUCGAGUAAGAGCCAUGCUCCGAAUCCUGGGCCCAACUGA